UGGGGAAUCUUGCACAAUGGGGGCAACCCUGAUGCAGCGACGCCGCGUGAGCGAUGAAGCCCUUCGGGGUGUAAAGCUCUUUCGGCAGGGAAGAUUAUGACGGUACCUGCAGAAGCAGCUGCGGCUAACUACGUGCCAGCAGCCGCGGUAAUACGUAGGCAGCAAGCGUUGUUCGGAGUUACUGGGCGUAAAGGGUGUGUAGGCGGUCCCCUAAGUUUGGUGUGAAAUCUCCCGGCUCAACUGGGAGGGUGCGCCGAAAACUGGGGGGCUAGAGUACUGGAUGGGAGAGUGGAAUUCCUGGUGUAGCGGUGAAAUGCGUAGAUAUCAGGAGGAACACCUGUGGUGUAGACGGCUCUCUGGACAGUAACUGACGCUGAGACACGAAAGCGUGGGUAGCAAACAG
This 403-nucleotide ribosomal RNA is filed under the name uncultured bacterium. RNAcentral's name for it is "bacterial SSU rRNA". It matches the Rfam family "Bacterial small subunit ribosomal RNA", at positions 355 to 775 of the family's 1533-position model. The record is from RNAcentral.